CCCCCCCCCCCUCUCCUAUAAUACUUAGUACGCCCAUGGGCUUAAAAUUUAUUCAAAUAAGGUACAGCCUAUUUGAACUAGGAUACAACCUUUGACAGUAGGUAAUGCCAAACUCACGUGAUCAAGUAGGCCUAAAAGCAGCCAUCUUUUAAAAAGCGUUAAAGCCUUAUCACACCCUAUUACCAAUCCCAAUCGGAACCCAAAACCUCUCACCCUUACUGAAUGACUUCAUACUAAUAUGAAAACCCCUAUGUUAGAACUAGUAACAAGAACACCACUUCUCCUAUAAAUGUAAGUGUAGGCCGAAAUGGAACACCCAUCGGCACUUACCGUUAAUGAAUCUGCAGUAACAACUCACCCAAGAAAACUUUACUACACCUCACGUUAACCUUACACAAGAACUUUUCUGGAAAGAUUAAAAAAAGAGGAAG
This 431-nucleotide ribosomal RNA is filed under the name Hylophorbus infulatus (Arau Archipelago frog). RNAcentral describes it as "partial 16S ribosomal RNA". The record is from RNAcentral. Lineage: Eukaryota; Metazoa; Chordata; Amphibia; Anura; Microhylidae.